This 252-nucleotide ribosomal RNA is filed under the name uncultured bacterium. RNAcentral's name for it is "partial 16S ribosomal RNA". It matches the Rfam family "Bacterial small subunit ribosomal RNA", at positions 524 to 776 of the family's 1533-position model. The record is from RNAcentral.
UACGUAGGUCCCGAGCGUUGUCCGGAUUUAUUGGGCGUAAAGCGAGCGCAGGUGGUUUAUUAAGUCUGGUGUAAAAGGCAGUGGCUCAACCAUUGUAUGCAUUGGAAACUGGUAGACUUGAGUGCAGGAGAGGAGAGUGGAAUUCCAUGUGUAGCGGUGAAAUGCGUAGAUAUAUGGAGAAACGCCGGUGGCGAAAGCGGCUCUCUGGCCUGUAACUGACACUGAGGCUCGAAAGCGUGGGGAGCAAACAGG